ACCGGCGGCUCGAGUGGUGGCCACUAUUACUGGGCUUAAAGCGUUCGUAGCUGGCUUGUUAAGUCUCUGGGGAAAUCUUCCGGCUCAACCGGAAGGCGUCUCAGGGAUACUGGCAGGCUAGGGACCGGAAGAGGUGAGAGGUACUCCAGGGUUGGGGGGAAAAUCCGGUAAUCCUUGGGGAACACCCUGGGGCGAGGGCGCCCCACCAGGACGCCUCCAACAUGGGGAAACGAAAGCGGGGGAGCAAACCG
RNAcentral lists this ribosomal RNA (251 nucleotides) under uncultured prokaryote. RNAcentral's name for it is "partial 16S rRNA". It matches the Rfam family "Archaeal small subunit ribosomal RNA", at positions 475 to 726 of the family's 1478-position model. The record is from RNAcentral.